This 717-nucleotide ribosomal RNA is filed under the name uncultured Bacilli bacterium. Its description in RNAcentral is "bacterial SSU rRNA". It matches the Rfam family "Bacterial small subunit ribosomal RNA", at positions 51 to 749 of the family's 1533-position model. The record is from RNAcentral. Lineage: Bacteria; Bacillati; Bacillota; Bacilli.
AUACAUGCAAGUCGAGCGGACCGACGGGAGCUUGCUCCCUUAGGUCAGCGGCGGACGGGUGAGUAACACGUGGGUAACCUGCCUGUAAGACUGGGAUAACUCCGGGAAACCGGGGCUAAUACCGGAUGCUUGAUUGAACCGCAUGGUUCAAUCAUAAAAGGUGGCUUUUAGCUACCACUUGCGGAUGGACCCGCGGCGCAUUAGCUAGUUGGUGAGGUAACGGCUCACCAAGGCGACGAUGCGUAGCCGACCUGAGAGGGUGAUCGGCCACACUGGGACUGAGACACGGCCCAGACUCCUACGGGAGGCAGCAGUAGGGAAUCUUCCGCAAUGGACGAAAGUCUGACGGAGCAACGCCGCGUGAGUGAUGAAGGUUUUCGGAUCGUAAAACUCUGUUGUUAGGGAAGAAUAAGUACCGUUCGAAUAGGGCGGUACCUUGACGGUACCUAACCAGAAAGCCACGGCUAACUACGUGCCAGCAGCCGCGGUAAUACGUAGGUGGCAAGCGUUGUCCGGAAUUAUUGGGCGUAAAGCGCGCGCAGGCGGUUUCUUAAGUCUGAUGUGAAAGCCCCCGGCUCAACCGGGGAGGGUCAUUGGAAACUGGGGAACUUGAGUGCAGAAGAGGGGAGUGGAAUUCCACGUGUAGCGGUGAAAUGCGUAGAGAUGUGGAGGAACACCAGUGGCGAAGGCGACUCUCUGGUCUGUAACUGACGCUGA